RNAcentral lists this ribosomal RNA (253 nucleotides) under uncultured bacterium. Its description in RNAcentral is "partial 16S ribosomal RNA". It matches the Rfam family "Bacterial small subunit ribosomal RNA", at positions 524 to 776 of the family's 1533-position model. The record is from RNAcentral.
UACGUAGGGGGCGAGCGUUGUUCGGAAUUAUUGGGCGUAAAGGGUGUGUAGGCGGCCGAGUAAGUGUCCUUAACAAGAUCACAGCUCAACUGUGGGACUUGGGGGCAAACUGUUUGGCUAGAGUGUACUAGGGGCAAGGGGAACGUACGGUGUAGCGGUGAAAUGUAUAGAUAUCGUACGGAACACCAGUGGCGAAGGCGCCUUGCUGGGGUACAACUGACGCUGAAACACGAAAGCCAGGGUAGCAAACGGG